RNAcentral lists this small nuclear RNA (108 nucleotides) under Microcebus murinus (gray mouse lemur). Lineage: Eukaryota; Metazoa; Chordata; Mammalia; Primates; Cheirogaleidae. The record is from RNAcentral.
GUGCUCGCUUCGGCAGCACAUAUACUAAAAUUGGAACGAUACAGAGAAGAUUAGCAUGGCCCCUGCACAAAAAUUAACCUCUUUUAGUGUGUAUAUAGUAGAAUCCUG